Molecule: long non-coding RNA, 2054 nt
Organism: Clupea harengus (Atlantic herring)
Lineage: Eukaryota; Metazoa; Chordata; Actinopteri; Clupeiformes; Clupeidae
Source: Ensembl
GUAGGCUUAGUGUUUUAUUUAAGCAGUGUGUUUGUGUACCUAUAUAUCCUAUGUGUGAUGGUUAGAAUAUUAAUGCCAUAUACAAUAACUCACUUAUGAGAGCUAUCCAAAGACUGGUGGCUGCCUUAAUGUACUGUAUUUAGCAGUCAACCUCCCUUACUCUGUACGUUUAGAUGCUUUACAGGUAGCUGUAAGCCAUUAGAUGCAUGAUAAAUCUAUAAAAUAGAUUCUAUAUAUCUAUAAAUAACAGCUCACCUUUAUCUUUUUAACCAGAUUUGUAAACAGGUCGCGAUCAAUAUUUUGCAGUAGCUAUAAUAGGCUACCUUGGUUAAAUAUCGAAUUACGGUAGAUGCAUGCUAGCAUUGCGCUAAAUAAUUAAGACAGCUAACAUUAGUUAGUAGUGUUAACAAAGUCAGUUAUUGUAUAUGGCAUUAAUAUUAUUCUGAAACACCAUCACUAGUUGUUUUAACCAGAUUUGUAAGCAGGUUGAAAACAACAUUUUUGAAGUAAAGUCCCUUGGUUUAAAACAGCUAAAAGCUAGCUACAUUAAGUUGCUUGCUCAAAUCCAAACCAACGUCUUCUCUAAACUGGCAAGCUUGGAGCAGCCUCUGUUCAAUGAUUGGCUCAGGGGGUGGGAGGUGGGAUGCGCCCUUGAAGUCGACGGUGAGGGCUCAAAACACUAUUAAGCUGAAUUGCGCCAUGAAUGACAGCUUUUUUUUUAUUUAUUUUUUUAUCGCGGACUUUUUUUUUUUGCCUUAGGCGCUCGCGAUUUGUUGUAGGCGCUCGGGAAAACGGCUUAGGCGCGCGCCCAAAUUUUCUCUAUGCAGGAAAAACCCUGAAGAGGUGUCGACUACUAACCCAAGAGGUGUCGACUACUAACCCAAGAGGUGUCUUGGUGUCGACUACUAACCCAAGAGGUGUCGACUACUAACCCAAGAGGUGUCGACUACUAACCCAAGAGCGUCGACUACUAACCCAAGAGCGUCGACUACUAACCCAAGAGCUGCUGUCUUGGUGUCGACUACUAACCCAAGAGAUGUCGACUACUAACCCAAGAGGUGUCGACUACUAACCCAAGAGGUGUCGACUACUAACCCAAGAGCGUCUCGACUACUAACCCAAGAGGUGUCGACUACUAACCCAAGAGCUGCUGUCUUGGUGUCGACUACUAACCCAAGAGGUGUCGACUACUAACCCAAGAGCUGCUGUCUUGGUGUCGACUACUAACCCAAGAGGUGUCGACUACUAACCCAAGAGGUGUCGACUACUAACCCAAGAGGUGCUGUCUUGGUGUCGACUACUAACCCAAGAGAUGUCGACUACUAACCCAAGAGGUGUCGACUACUAACCCAAGAGGUGUCGACUACUAACCCAAGAGGUGUCGACUACUAACCCAAGAGCGUCGACUACUAACCCAAGAGCUGCUGUCUUGGUGUCGACUACUAACCCAAGAGGUGUCGACUACUAACCCAAGAGAUGUCGACUACUAACCCAAGCCCAAACGCUGUCUUGGUGUCGACUACUUCCAUAGCUGAAAAGAUCAGACAAUACCAAGAUGUUCCACCUCUACCACUGAUCACUGGCCCAUUUUGUCUUUUUAGAGGUAUUUGUCUUUAGCUAAACAGACAUUGUGAUCUAUACAACCCCAUACUCUGUGCUAGCAUUUACCUGCAAUGCACAUAAUUGCAACCAUCAACAUCGUUUUGUUCCAUUACUCUACUUAACCUCGAAAUAGCAACCUUACGAGCACACUUUAUACCCACUAAGCUGUUUCACACACACUGUAUACCCAAUAAGCUGUUCCACACACACUGUAUACCCAAUAAGCUGUUUUACACACACACACACACACACACUGUAUACCCAAUAGGGGUGGGGGAAAAAAUCGAUUUUUCGAUUUCUCUCGAUUCUCUUUAGAACGAUUCUGUCUCGAUUCAGAAAAGUUCAUAAUCGAUUUUUAAUUAAAAAAUUUUAAAAAAAAAAAAUUAAUAUAUUUUUUUUUUUUUUUUUUUACACAUUCAUUUUGUGUUGAAAUGCAAGCUGCAUCGAUUAUU